RNAcentral lists this long non-coding RNA (237 nucleotides) under Ictidomys tridecemlineatus (thirteen-lined ground squirrel). Its description in RNAcentral is "lncRNA (ENSSTOG00000033108.1)". The record is from RNAcentral. Lineage: Eukaryota; Metazoa; Chordata; Mammalia; Rodentia; Sciuridae.
AUUCAAUGGUCUGAUUGAAGGGAAAUAUGAAGGCCAAAUGGUAGCCUGGUAUCCACAGCCAAAUGGUACGCUAUUCAGCAGAUCAUCUGACUCCUAUGACCAAGAGGAAUAAGUUCACAGAUGGAAUAUGGACUGCUGUAGACCUUGAUUGUGAUGUAACCCAGGAACGUCAUUCACAUGGAGGAAUUUUAUGGAGAGCUAGCACAAGUUGCAAGCAAUCUUAAGAAACAAAGACUC